Molecule: ribosomal RNA, 253 nt
Filed under: uncultured bacterium
Lineage: Bacteria
Description: partial 16S ribosomal RNA
Rfam family: Bacterial small subunit ribosomal RNA
Source: RNAcentral
UACGGAGGGUGCAAGCGUUAUCCGGAUUCACUGGGUUUAAAGGGUGCGUAGGGGGGCAGGUAAGUCAGGGGUGAAAUCUCCGGGCUUAACUCGGAAACUGCCAUUGAUACUAUCUGUCUUGAAUACCGUGGAGGUCAGCGGAAUAUGUCAUGUAGCGGUGAAAUGCUUAGAUAUGACAUAGAACACCGAUUGCGAAGGCAGCUGACGAAACUGUAACUGACGCUGAGGCUCGAAAGCGUGGGGAUCAAACAGG